CGAGCCGCCCAGCCCCGCGCCUGGCGUACCUCCGCCGUCGCCUGCGCCGCCCAGCCCCGCGCCUGGCGUGCCUCCGCCAUCGCCUGUUCCGCCCAGCCCUGCCCCCGGCGUGCCUCCGCCGUCGCCUGCGCCGCCCAGCCCCGCGCCUGGCGUGCCUCCGCCGUCGCCUGCGCCGCCCAGCCCCUCGCCUGGCGUGCCUCCGCCGUCGCCUGCGCCGCCCAGCCCCUCGCCUGGCGUGCCUCCGCCAUCGCCCGAGCCGCCCAGCCCCGCGCCUGGCGUGCCUCCGCCGUCGCCCGAGCCGCCCAGCCCCGCGCCUGGCGUGCCUCCGCCAUCGCCUGAGCCGCCCAGCCCCGCGCCUGGCGUGCCUCCGCCAUCGCCCGAGCCGCCCAGCCCCGCGCCUGGCGUGCCUCCGCCGUCGCCUGCGCCGCCCAGCCCCUCGCCUGGCGUGCCUCCGCCAUCGCCCGAGCCGCCCAGCCCCGCGCCUGGCGUGCCUCCGCCGUCGCCCGAGCCGCCCAGCCCCGCGCCUGGCGUGCCUCCGCCGUCGCCCGAGCCGCCCAGCCCCGCGCCUGGCGUGCCUCCGCCAUCGCCUGAGCCGCCCAGCCCCGCGCCUGGCGUGCCUCCGCCGUCGCCCGAGCCGCCCAGCCCCGCGCCUGGCGUGCCUCCGCCGUCGCCUGCGCCGCCCAGCCCCGCGCCUGGCGUGCCUCCGCCGUCGCCUGCGCCGCCCAGCCCCGCGCCUGGCGUGCCUCCGCCGUCGCCCGAGCCGCCCAGCCCCGCGCCUGGCGUGCCUCCGACGUCGCCUGCGCCGCCCAGCCCCGCGCCUGGCGUGCCUCCGCCGUCGCCUGCGCCGCCCAGCCCUGCCCCCGGCGUGCCUCCGCCGUCGCCCGAGCCGCCCAGCCCCGCGCCUGGCGUACCUCCGCCGUCGCCUGCGCCGCCCAGCCCCGCGCCUGGCGUACCUCCGCCGUCGCCUGCGCCGCCCAGCCCUGCCCCCGGCGUGCCUCCGCCGUCGCCUGCGCCGCCCAGCCCCGCGCCUGGCGUGCCUCCGCCUUCGCCCGAGCCGCCCAGCCCCGCGCCUGGCGUGCCUCCGCCAUCG
This 1090-nucleotide long non-coding RNA is filed under the name Chlamydomonas reinhardtii. Its description in RNAcentral is "long non-coding RNA (CREI_LNC000068)". The record is from RNAcentral. Lineage: Eukaryota; Viridiplantae; Chlorophyta; Chlorophyceae; Chlamydomonadales; Chlamydomonadaceae.